Molecule: ribosomal RNA, 159 nt
Filed under: Pestalotiopsis sp.
Lineage: Eukaryota; Fungi; Ascomycota; Sordariomycetes; Amphisphaeriales; Sporocadaceae
Description: partial large subunit ribosomal RNA
Rfam family: Eukaryotic large subunit ribosomal RNA
Source: RNAcentral
CGGCAACAGCUCAAAUUUGAAAUCUGGCCCUCGGGUCCGAAUUGUAAUUUGUAGAGGAUGAUUUUGGUGCGGUAUCUUCCGAGUUCCUUGGAACAGGACGCCUUAGAGGGUGAGAGCCCCGUACGGUUGAAUGCCUAGCCUCUGUAAAUCUCCUUCGAC